Molecule: long non-coding RNA, 8352 nt
Organism: Gallus gallus (chicken)
Lineage: Eukaryota; Metazoa; Chordata; Aves; Galliformes; Phasianidae
Source: Ensembl
CGGAAUGCCAUUUUAUUUUCCCUAAAUGAAUGAAUAAAAUCAGUCAGCCAGGAAAAAGAAACAGUACAGCACUUGCACGCUGUCCUUCCUCUCCUGCACUUCUUUGCUUCAAGCACAAACUGCAUGCUGGUGCCCAAACGCACCUAAAGGAGGUGGAUGCAGAAGUACUGCUGCAAAUGCACCAAGAGCCAUGUCCCUCUGCCAGCUGGCCUGCACCAGGCAGGUGCAAGGAGCCGGCGAAGCAUCGAGGUCUUUGCUGCUCUCUCCCCUCCUUUGCCAGCUGGGAAGAGGGAGCAUGGCGUGGAGGGGAGGGAAGGCAGCAGGCCUGGCACUUGGCUGUGUUCCAGCUGAGCAGCCUGCCAGGAACAAGCAACCAGCCCACACCCUGUGGAGGCCCGCUGGCCAUCGCUGCUCCACUGAGCUGCCCACCUGCCCCAGCGGUGCAGGACCAAGAAUGAGAACUGCAUCAAACUCACUUCUAAGUAAACUGAAUUAAAUAGCAGGAGUGGGAGCCUGGAACAGCUUCCUGUGAUCAGAGCACUUAGCCAGCAUCACUGCCGAUAAGGAAGCACGAGCAGCGCUGCUUUUUAUUCUCUCUUUGUGGGUUUGAUCUUAUUAUAGAAAACAAAUUUACCAAGCAUGAAUUACCACUGAAAUUCUUAAUGCUUUGGCAAAGAAGAAAAGUCAGAUAUGGAUGCUGGCAAAUGCACAUGGCUGCUAGCGAGAAUGCCUCUCCUCUGCACACUUUUGUCUCCCAACUUUCAGCUAGGAGCUGCUGUGCGAAUUAUUUCAAAAGAUGGGCUGCAGAAAAAGGAUCAAUUAAUCUGCCGAGAGAAUUUCAGAAUCCAUUCUCAAUGCCGCUGAUAGCCGGAGACCCCCUCCCUGCGCUUGGUAAUUACCCCAAUAUUUCCUGCACGCUUGUUUAAACGGCUUACACUCGGGCUGCCUGUGAAGAAGAGCUCUCCGUCCGCUGAUCUGAGGCAGGGGAGAAAGGCAGCUCUCCUUAUCGCUCUGCUUCACUCCAUCUGCAGCCAGCGGGGGGGCCGCCUCCUCAUUGUCCCUGGGACAGGGGACGAGCAGGCUGGGGGACGCAGAUAGAUGUGACACCGAAGGAGAGCAGGACUUUCCUACCGUGCCGGUGCCGAAGAAAACUCAUCACGCUCUUGCGGUUUCAAAGGCAAAUAAGGAGCCCCUUUAAACCACAGGCCUGUCCCUUAAUUAUACAAAUGCAGCGAUCAAAGUUAUUAUCUGUCCUUACAAAGGCUGCAGCUUUAAUUGAAUGGUGUGUUGCUACCUUUGAGAGAAAGCGUUCAAUCUUCGUGGAGAGCAAAGGGACAGGAGGGAGAAAAUGGAAAAAAGCGAGGGAGCAAGAGGAAAGGAACAAGAGAAAGGGAUAUGGCAUUUAACAAAUUUGUGACGUCUUCGCCAUAUUUGCAUAUUGUAAGUUAAAAAGUCUGAAGAAUUUCAGGUCUGAGACCCUGCUCUACAUUGAGCUAAGUGGGGGCAAGCCACACCACAGUGGGACCUCAUUACCACGGUUCUCCAAGCUAAUGAUGGGGCUGCAACCAUACUACUGUAGUCUGAAGAGAAACCAGAGGGUGACAGGCAUUAGGAGCACUGCUGUGUGUAUCUCACAUAGGGCAACCAAGACAUUACGACUUCAUGAAGACCCUGCAGAGCACACCUGCUUCAGAACCCCCUGAUGAAUACCAUCUGGUUCAAGUGAUUUACUACACUUGCAUUUCAUGAGCUGCGCCGCGACAUCCCAAAUUAAGACAAGGAAAAUAUAGUCUGUGUUUCAGGAAAAUCUUUCUGACAGAUCUAUUAGGCUAUGGAGUAAUCUUUCAGUGGGAGUCUCAUUGUCUGAGACAUUUAUAGCAAGACUGGACAAAGCACUGGUAAAAUAUACUGCAGGGGACAAUUCUGCAUUAACAGAAGGGUAGUCUAGAUAUAUGGCUUUGAAAUUGAGCUGGUCAGAAAAAAAUUUAAGUGAACCAUUUUCUGUCAGAAAAUAUGGUUCUGACAAAACUAAAUAUACUUUGUUGAACCAAUGAUUUUGCUGACCAUUAUUUCAGAGAGAGAAAAAAAAGGGGAAUUUUAAUGUCAAAGUGUCAUACAGAAGUUUUUUUUCUGAAUAAAGAAUUUCAUUACUUUCCCAUCAAACAUUUUUGAAAUUCCAUUCCUGUACUACAGAAGUCAAUUUGAAAACAAAAUAUUCUGAAUAACCCCAAAUUUCUAUUCUUCCCUCCAGAACUGUACUUCCUAGAGUAGUACUGAAAUGAUCAAUUUUGUUGCAGUCAAAAAUUAAAGCAAAUUAGAAAUAUCCUCUGUCUUCACCACUGAGUAUUGCCUUCCAACAUGUUUCUGAAAGUUCUCCAUGGCAAAUAUUGCCUCUUUAUGCUCCAAGUCUUUGAUUCAUUUCACUGCAUUUGUCCUCUCCCUAUGUCAUUUCAGUGCUUAGUGUCUCAGCUCUUUCUGGAUUAAAAGGAGGAGAGGAAUGUGCAUUUUUCUCUGAGAAGCAGAACUGAAAGUCAGUUCAUGACAGCUUAUAUUUUAAUAGCAAAUAUCUUCCUCAUUCCCUGUGGAGUGGUUUCUUUAUUGCCCUCAGGUUGCUUUGCAGUUUGGUUCUGCUUUCACUGAUGUGCUUUAUCCUUCUUGCUAUAAUAUAAUUGGAAAACUUAAUCAUGGUUGAAAUCACUCUAAAGACAGACGUGGAAAAGCAGUCCAACUCUGAGGGAGACAGGAUUUUUUUUAAAGCUUGGCUGGUGACAAAAUUUCCUGGAAACCCUUCUACCCUCUUCAGGAGUAGGAGACAAGGUUUCUUAUAUUAAAAAAAAUAAUCUUUCAAAAGUUUCAAAGCCUGCUGUUUAUUUUUGAUGUCCUGGGAUAUGGCUGAGUUUAAUAGCUUUGAAAACUACUGUCCUCAGAAGCAGAAAGUGACUAUAUUUGAAGGCUGCUUCAACUUUCUAAAGAAGCCUUCUGAAAGUGUCCUCCUACUUCUGUUGGAACUUGCCUUCUGUUUAGUCACCGUUUGAAGCCUAAUAUCUUCUACAAGCUAGAACAUGAAUUUGCAAAAAGAAAACACUUCUGUACUCCCACUUAGAUGUCUCCCACAGUGUUUUUCUUUUCUCAUGAAAAUUCUCUCUUCUGCUACCAAUGGAAAAUUACCUUCGCUGUCUCAAUUGAGCCCUGGAUGCAUCCCACACACAUCUUGCCUCUUUGAAGAUUAUCAGAAAGACAGGAAGGUUUCCUUCCCACUUUCUGGGAUUCAUCUGUGAUCCCACUGGUGACUGGAAGAGUGAAGUGUUCCCAUCUCCAUCUGCAGAACCGAGACUACAGGCAACUACUACUGCUCAGCAGCACCUUAGCAACUAUGUGAUCAUACCUUGUAAGAGUGAGGUUGUUAAGGUUACCUAGCCACCGCACUUAGUUUUAUGGACUGUUAUGUGCUCUUAAGCUUUUAUAACAAAGAAGGCAUAUGCAAACCAGGUAUUGCCUAUUGCUGCCUUGUGUUUGGACAAUAACCUUCUUACACUCUGUAUCAAGAGGUGUGGGCUUUUAAUAGGGUACAAAGAAAGAAGGUGCUCAGAGGUCUAAUUUGACUGCUUUUUAACAAAAAAGAAACUGAGAAACAGCUACCUUGUAGCUCCCACAGCCUUGAGCAAGAAGCUCUCCGGAGCCUGUGCUGCAGAACAGCAGGGGGAAGGAGAUUUCUGGGUUCUUUCAUAGACAGUAACUUUGAGCAAUAAUGUCCCACAUUUUAUCCUGGGGGGAACAAAAGGAAAAGAAAAGUCCCAGGAAAGAGGUGGGAAACAUGGUUGGAAGUUAAUGAAAGUCUUCUAUUCAUAUUACAAAUAGUCAUACCAGUCUGCAAGGAGAGGUUUCUGCCAGCUCCAUCUAUAACACAUAUUGUAGGACUCAUCACAAGGACUUAACGGUACUUAACCCAACAUAAAUGCAUUGCUCUCCCACAUUCACAACGCACACACAGGAUUGGUUUAGUUAGUAUCCAAAUUCACUGCAUAGGUUUUUUUUUAUGUGUGUUUUUGUACCCAGGGAAGAAGUGAAAUACAUUGUUGAUAAGUGAAUACAAAUAUAUCGUGCUUGCAUGAAUUCACAGAGGCCUUUUUCAUAAAAACAGCUGUGAUCAUUUUUCAAUGUGGCUGAGAAACCAGAGAUCUUUUCCUAUAGCUCACCGCACUUAGAAGCUAACCUGUGGAUCUCAAGUGACCUGUAAUGUUCAUUUCGGCUUUUGGGCACUUUUCCUGAAGUUUUAAACCUGAUGCUCCAUUUAGGGAAUUUGUCAGUGUACAGGGAGGCCUAAAAUUCACCUGCAGAGGCUGGGGAAAUGAAGCAUGGAGGAAACACUAACAUUUUGAGGGCACAGUGUGCAGAAAAGAUUUAAACUCGUAUUUUCACAGCACACUGUUCUGUGAGAGCGGAGCAGUGAACUUGAUGCAGGGAGGUAUGAUAGAUAUUACACUGUGCUUUCAGGUUUAACAUUGAGAUCAAGCUAAUAGUUACAUUAAAGAAGUCAAGAAUUAAUAUACAAAUAUUUUUAGCACAAACAGUACAGUCUGCCCAUCACAAAAUAUAUGUGCAUAUCUGUGAUAAAAACAACAUUCCAUUAACUUGCUCAUUUCAAAUCCAUCACCCAGAUCUAGUAUUUGAUGAUUAGCUUUAACUAUUCCUAAUAUGUUAGUCUUGCUCACAUCCAUCCAUACAUUGAAAUGAGUAUCCUAGCAUUUAGUAGUAAACACGAGAGAUGGAUCUUCUCCUGAGGUCUGAACUCAUCUUCUUAAACUUUUUCAUUAACAUCUACUCCAGGGCAAAUAUUUCAGAUUUCUGUAGCCUUGCACAGUAUUUCAAUCCUUAAUUAAUAUCAAAUAUUAUUUUUUACUGAACAUUAAACAUACAUAUAUCCACAUAUUCAAUGUUGUUGUCUAGAACAUGCAAGAAAAAGGACUUCAGCACUUCCAAAUGAAAUAUCACAAAAUGCUGAAACAGUAAUGAUUAGAAAAGAAAGCCGACAUGCAAGUGGCACUCAAAUAAGUAAAGAGUGUUAAGAAAAAUGCCCUAGAAGUUUAUUUAGUGGAUCAGGAACCACAUUCUUUUCUCAUCUUUGAUUUAAAAAGUAUAUAUGCAGUCACUUGGCUCACAAAUGCAAAAGUAAACUAAGGUUAACAUUAUCAGCUUCCUUGAAUCUGUAUUAGGAGGCCAAGACUACCGUGAAAACAGUGCAGAGGUAUAAUUGACCAUGUUACCUUCUAACUUAAGGGGCUAAGUUAUUGCCAGAUGAAAGAGCUCAGGCUUUAAAUAACAGCAGUGGUUUCAGAUCUAGGGAAUGCUAUUAAUGUUAAAAGCAAUUAUAAUGCAACUUAAUGACUUUUCCUGUUUUAUUUACUUUUUUAUUUCUAGUAUGUAACAACUUUCAAGAAGGUUACAGAAAAAUAGUCACCUGAAGGCAAAAAAGAAUUUCACGUUGAUCUCACUUUUAAGUAUUUAGUGCUAAAUGGUUAGAAUCUGAUAGCCUUAUACAUGUUAUUCUUUUACUCUGUAAGUACUUCUAAUAAUUCCUACUGUGGAAUAUGUUUGCCUCCGUAAAAAUCAAGAGGAUGGGGAUCUGACAUUUAAAUUCUGCAGGAAAAAAAAAAAAAAAACACUGCAGUUUAUUCUGGGAUAGAUCUACUAACUGGUAUUAGUGCUCCCACAGGGAACAAGGGAAAAUAUUUCUAGCUCUUCUUUCAUGGGCAGAUGGGGCUUCAGAUACAUAGCUGACUUGAUGACUGGACACACUGCCAGUAUGGCAGUAUCUUUCAAUAUACCUUAAUUACCAUAAAAGGAAUAUUUUAUUAACAAGCUAAAAAAUUCAUACUUUAUUCUCAUUACAUAGAAGAGGUGAAAACCAAAUGAGAACAUUGCAAGCAACUUGACAAUAGUCACUGUAUUCACUGUUUGUCUACAAUGCAAAUAGAAAACGCAGUACUCAGCAAGCACAUUGUAUAAUUCUCUUCCUAUGUGUGCCUAUUUUCUUCUCCUGUAAUUCCAAUGACUUCUGCAAUGUUACUACCUGAUCACAUAAGGGAAAACUAAAGCUGAAACAAGACCAUUAGGCAUCUUCAUUAAUUUGGAGUGGCAGCAUACAAGUAACCUUAUUUGUUUUAUUUAUGACUUACUAGCCUCUGGUCUCACCUUCUAAGAGAGACUUAGGACAGCCUCUAAAAUACAAGGCUUCUUGAAAGUGAACGUUAGCACUCCUGAGUGAUGCUGCAAUUUGAUUUCUGACUCUGGGUCACAAGACGAUCAAGUGAGUUUCUAUUUUCUCAGUUUCCCAGGCAAGCAGGUCAGGGGGGUCUCCUGUGAGACAGAUUAAACUAGACAAAACUGGAUUGUGCCCUGGUCUGUAUAAAAAUCUGUGCUUGAGAAUCAUAUUGCUAAAAACUAAUGCUAGCCCAAAUAAUUGUAAGGGGUUGGAGAGAUACAGUGUUACCUGUUGAACAUUUUCAUUACUAUAAAUAUGUAGCUUUAUCAAUACAGAAACAUCAUAAAAAUUCUUAUUGGAAUAUUGUCAUGCCACAUUCAAAUUCAUUAUUUCUUUUUAAAUUGCAGUGUUAAAAAUGCUUAAGGUCAUUAUGGUACUGCUUCCUGAUAAUUUUGGUGCUUACAAUAAUUAAAGAGAAGGCAUUAUAAAAGAACAAAACCUAUCCCAUGAGGGUCAAAUAUUCAGAAGUAAAACGGGUAUUCAGGUUGCUCAUGGAGCAAUUUAUUGAAGUAGGAAUUACACAUCUAUGGAUGUAUCUUCUUCUCAUCUCCCCUGAGCUGGGAUACCCUUGCUGGUAUGCACACAGCAUAAACCUAGGGCUAUAGUCCUCACUUAGAAAACAAAAAAUAAUAAAUCAUAGCUUUUUUUUUUUUUACUAGCCUAAGGGAAAAAAUGUUAAUAAAUGUUAAAAGCCCAUCAGAAGAUUCUCCCUGGUGCCACUGUCACCCAUUGCUACCAGCAGGCAAGGAAACACUUCAUGCUAAAUCCCAUGCUAAACUCAAUUUCUUGAAUUCUGAACUGCAUUCUCUUAAAUACUAAACUACUUUUGAUCCCAGAAGCAUGUUGACAACAGAAAAAGAAGUCUGAUACAGCUAUAACAUUUUAAAAAAUAGAUUAUUAUCCAAAUACUUUUGAUAUACUGCUAUUUCAAAAUCCACUGAAGGUCAUUAUUAAACAAGAUUUAUAUAUUAAAUAUAUUUAUGGUAAGAUCAUCAUGUAGGUAAGAUAUAAUUAGCUUCAACUUCUUUGCUUUAUGGAGAAAAUUUCAUUAUGGAAUUAGUUGGGUUUUUUUUAAGCUUCAAAGAUAGAAAAAAAACCCCAACAAGAAUGAAGAGGAAAAAGACUCAUCAGUUUUUUCUUCAUGAGAAAUUACUGAAGCAGAACAUGAACAAGCCUGCUGUUACUUUCAUGAAACAUAUAACGAAUGUGUAGUUCAGACCUAAUUUUUUAAAGAGUUCAAGUUUCAUCUGAUAUUCUUUCUUUGAUAAAUUAUACCGAGAACAUAAAAACUCCUAUACUGGUCAGGAUUAUAACAGGUGGUAUUAUUUUAAAGCUUCAUAGACAUAAAAGUGCUUCAGAGCAGAUUAGAAGGUAUGCACAGAAAUAAUGCAAUUUCAGAACACGAACAAUAGAAUUGAUUUUCAUCAAACUGAGCAAAAUUUUAAUGGCUGAGAUUGGAAAUAUAAUUUAAUAAGACUCAGAACUUCAUCAUUUGGGUUAUAAGUAAAGCCACAAAUUCCUUUGGUGAUACAUCUAGGUAGGUUUCAGAAAAGUGCUCAAGACUGAAUUAGGCAGAUGUGUUUACUUGAAUUAAGAGAACCACAUACUUGAACACGGUGUCUAACACUGAUGAAACUGUACAUCAACCUGGUGCGGAGUGUGGGAUGGGGUGUUUCUUAUAGGCACUGUGGUGUGUUUUUCAGCAACAAAUCUGAACUCAUACAAAUAUUCCUGUGGAUGUCUUACAGCAUGGAAACGUUUUCCCACUAUCUAUAGAGCAAAUAAAGUUUAUUCCCUUAAACCUACGUCUGUGUGAUUUCUCCAGAUGGAUUCCAGCCCUGCAUAACACUGAAUGGGACCAAAAUACUGACUUCAAUUAAAAAGCUCCUUUUCAUAACCAACUCUAGAAUCACCCACGCUCCAGAAUUAGAUACCAUUAUUACAGAAAGUGUUAGCAUCAUGGGUCAGAGAAAUGGAUGGGAUUCAAUAAGAGUCAGGAGUCAAUUAGAACUAAAGGUGCUAUUGCAGAUGGUGGACUCACAAAAUUCUCCUUCACACAUACAGACAUCAAGGAGAUGCAUGGAAAAAUG